Molecule: ribosomal RNA, 474 nt
Filed under: Salmonella enterica subsp. enterica serovar Enteritidis
Lineage: Bacteria; Pseudomonadati; Pseudomonadota; Gammaproteobacteria; Enterobacterales; Enterobacteriaceae
Description: partial 23S ribosomal RNA
Rfam family: Bacterial large subunit ribosomal RNA
Source: RNAcentral
UAACACUAACUGGAGGACCGAACCGACUAAUGUUGAAAAAUUAGCGGAUGACCUGUGGCUGGGGGUGAAAGGCCAAUCAAACCGGGAGAUAGCUGGUUCUCCCCGAAAGCUAUUUAGGUAGCGCCUCGUGAAUUCAUCUCCGGGGGUAGAGCACUGUUUCGGCUAGGGGGCCAUCCCGGCUUACCAACCCGAUGCAAACUGCGAAUACCGGAGAAUGUUAUCACGGGAGACACACGGCGGGUGCUAACGUCCGUCGUGAAGAGGGAAACAACCCAGACCGCCAGCUAAGGUCCCAAAGUCAUGGUUAAGUGGGAAACGAUGUGGGAAGGCCCAGACAGCCAGGAUGUUGGCUUAGAAGCAGCCAUCAUUUAAAGAAAGCGUAAUAGCUCACUGGUCGAGUCGGCCUGCGCGGAAGAUGUAACGGGGCUAAACCAUGCACCGAAGCUGCGGCAGCGACACUGUGUGUUGUUGGGU